Molecule: ribosomal RNA, 466 nt
Filed under: uncultured bacterium
Lineage: Bacteria
Description: partial 16S ribosomal RNA
Rfam family: Bacterial small subunit ribosomal RNA
Source: RNAcentral
GACGAACGCUGGCGGCGUGCUUAACACAUGCAAGUCGAACGGAAAGGCCCUGCUUGCAGGGUACUCGAGUGGCGAACGGGUGAGUAACACGUGGGUGAUCUGCCCUGCACUUCGGGAUAAGCUUGGGAAACUGGGUCUAAUACCGGAUAGGAACCAUCUUUAGUGUGGUGGUUGGAAAGUUUUUUCGGUGUAGGAUGAGCUCGCGGCCUAUCAGCUUGUUGGUGGGGUAAUGGCCUACCAAGGCGGCGACGGGUAGCCGGCCUGAGAGGGUGUACGGCCACAUUGGGACUGAGAUACGGCCCAGACUCCUACGGGAGGCAGCAGUGGGGAAUAUUGCACAAUGGGCGCAAGCCUGAUGCAGCGACGCCGCGUGGGGGAUGAAGGCCUCCGGGUUGUAAACUCCUUUCGCUAGGGACGAAGCUUUGUUGUGACGGUACCUAGAGAAGAAGCACCGGCUAACUACGUG